This 467-nucleotide ribosomal RNA is filed under the name uncultured bacterium. Its description in RNAcentral is "bacterial SSU rRNA". It matches the Rfam family "Bacterial small subunit ribosomal RNA", at positions 330 to 794 of the family's 1533-position model. The record is from RNAcentral.
GCCAGACUCCUACGGGAGGCAGCAGUGAGGAAUAUUGGUCAAUGGGCUUACGCCUGAACCAGCCAAGUCGCGUGAGGGAAGACUGCCCUAUGGGUUGUAAACCUCUUUUGUCAGGGAGCAAUUGGCGCUACGUGUAGCGUUAUCGAGAGUACCUGAAGAAAAAGCAUCGGCUAACUCCGUGCCAGCAGCCGCGGUAAUACGGAGGAUGCGAGCGUUAUCCGGAUUUAUUGGGUUUAAAGGGUGCGUAGGCGGCCCGGAAAGUCAGGGGGAAAAGCCCGGGGCUCACCCCCGGCGAGCCGUUGAAACUGUCGGACUAGAGACGGCGAGAAGUACGCGGAAUGCGCGGUGUAGCGGUGAAAUGCAUAGAUAUCGCGCAGAACUCCGAUUGCGAAGGCAGCAUGCCGGCUCCACACUGACGCUGAGGCACGAAAGCGUGGGUAUCGAACAGGAUUAGAUACCCCGGUAAG